Molecule: ribosomal RNA, 253 nt
Filed under: uncultured bacterium
Lineage: Bacteria
Description: partial 16S ribosomal RNA
Rfam family: Bacterial small subunit ribosomal RNA
Source: RNAcentral
UACGGGGGGGGCAAGCGUUGUUCGGAAUUACUGGGCGUAAAGGGCUCGUAGGUGGCCAACUAAGUCAGACGUGAAAUCCCUCGGCUUAACCGGGGAACUGCGUCUGAUACUGGAUGGCUUGAGUUUGGGAGAGGGACGCGGAAUUCCAGGUGUAGCGGUGAAAUGCGCAGAUAUCAGGAAGAACACCCGUGGCUAAGGCGGCUCUCUAGUACGGUACUGACGCUGAGACGCGAAAGCGUGGGGAGCGAACAGG